GAUGAACGCUGGCGGCGUGCCUAAUACAUGCAAGUCGAGCGAACAGACGAGGAGCUUGCUCCUCUGACGUUAGCGGCGGACGGGUGAGUAACACGUGGAUAACCUGCCUAUAAGACUGGGAUAACUUCGGGAAACCGGAGCUAAUACCGGAUAAUAUAUUGAACCGCAUGGUUCAAUAGUGAAAGACGGUUUUGCUGUUACUUAUAGAUGGAUCCGCGCCGCAUUAGCUAGUUGGUAAGGUAACGGCUUACCAAGGCAACGAUGCGUAGCCGACCUGAGAGGGUGAUCGGCCACACUGGAACGGAGACACGGUCCAUACUCCUACGGGAGGCACCAGAAGGGAAUCUUCCGCAAUGGGCGAAAGCCUGACGGAGCAACGCCGCGUGAGUGAUGAAGGUCUUCGGAUCGUAAAACUCUGUUAUUAGGGAAGAACAAAUGUGUAAGUAACUAUGCACGUCUUGACGGUACCUAAUCAGAAAGCCACGGCUAACUACGUG
RNAcentral lists this ribosomal RNA (497 nucleotides) under uncultured bacterium. RNAcentral's name for it is "partial 16S ribosomal RNA". It matches the Rfam family "Bacterial small subunit ribosomal RNA", at positions 28 to 507 of the family's 1533-position model. The record is from RNAcentral.